RNAcentral lists this long non-coding RNA (630 nucleotides) under Homo sapiens (human). RNAcentral's name for it is "LNC_000230". Lineage: Eukaryota; Metazoa; Chordata; Mammalia; Primates; Hominidae. The record is from RNAcentral.
CUCCUUUUGCAGACGUUCUCUUUCUUCCUCUUCACGCCGCCUUCGCUCCUCUUCCUCCUUCCUUUUUUUUUCUUGCUCUUCCUUCUCUAUUUUGUGGGACGCAACAUAUGUUGAAAAGAGAUGGCAACACCUAUUUAAGAGCUUGACAAACUCCACCAUGGCAUCCUCUUUAGACAUGUUUCCCAGGGCUGCCCAUUCUCUCCUCCUGUCAUUCCCCAACACAUCAAAGAAUCCAACCUCAGGACAAGUGUCUGGAUUAUAUGGGCCCAUAAGAACUUGCUUAUGCAGUGCCACAAGCUUCAAUUUUUCUUCAUAAGUUGGAUGAAAUGCUUUGCCAUCUUUUUCUUUGAAGAAGCGCAGUGCCAGGCCGUACAACUCCUCCAGGCCGAAACCCCAGCGCUGCUCCAGCCGCCGCGCCUCCUCCGCCGCGCCCCCAGCCGCCGCCUCCCCGGGCUCGGGCUGCUCCCCUGAGGCGCCCGGGCCGCGACCGGAUCCAGGUGGCGAGGGCGGUGGCAGCGGUGGCGGCAGCAGCGGGGCGCCCUCCGCCCCAGGCCGCUCCUCCGGGUCCGGGCUGAGCGUGAGGCCGUCGACGGACACCUCGAGUCGCUCUGCGUUCAGCACCGCCGCCAU